This 285-nucleotide ribosomal RNA is filed under the name Triticum aestivum (bread wheat). RNAcentral describes it as "partial small subunit ribosomal RNA". The record is from RNAcentral. Lineage: Eukaryota; Viridiplantae; Streptophyta; Magnoliopsida; Poales; Poaceae.
AUGACAUGCACUAUGAGGAGCACGUCCGGGUUAGUGGUCAAGUAUCACGCGGACUAUCUCAACCAUAGGAUUUACAAACAGGAGGCUCGAGGGACGCAUCUUUCAUGGGACAAUUACUUCAAAGCAAGCUGGGAGAAGAUCGUCGAACGGUGGACAGAUCCAGGGUGGCAGGAUGAACACAAAGUAAUAUCUGAACGGCGUAAGUUGAUGGGGGGUCGAGGACACCGUCAAGGCAACCUCACCAUCCCAGAAAGAAGACACUGGCAAGGAUAUCACUUACUUUGA